RNA transcript from Coffea arabica (coffee), 3986 nucleotides. It is a transcript of the gene named 2-alkenal reductase (NADP(+)-dependent)-like, with no coding region annotated. The record is from RefSeq and is a predicted model, not a curated record. Lineage: Eukaryota; Viridiplantae; Streptophyta; Magnoliopsida; Gentianales; Rubiaceae.
CUCUAUCCCCAUUUCAUUUACUUCUUUCAGUCCCCCUCCUCAAAAGGCCAUUGACUUCUAUGUUCUUUGCUAAUAUCACACAGAUUAGAGAGCAAUUCUUCCUCUUGUAGGAAUACAAAAGUGAGAUGGAUGAUGUUUUGCUUAAUGUUGUUAUAGAGGGAGUUCUGAAUAAGUUAAUUUCACUUGUGGCUGAAGAGAUCAACAUAGUGUGGGGUGUCAAGGAAGAUCUUGAAAGUUUAGCUCGAAAUCUGGAGAUGAUUCAAGCUUUGCUGGUUGAUGCUGAAUGCCAACAUAACAGUAACAAAGCUGUUGAAAUUUGGCUUAGAGGGCUCCAGGAUGUGUCGUCCGAGGCUGAUAACUUGCUAGAAGAGUUUGCAUAUGAAGUUCUUCGCAACAAGUUGAAGAAGAGCAAGGUUUGUAGCUUCUUUUCUUGGUCAUAUCCGCUCGCAUUCCGUUUCAAAUUUGCUCACAAGAUUAAGAACAUGAACUUGAGCAUAGAGAAAGUUUAUCAGGAAGCGGAAAGGAUUCGACUUAGGCCGGUCGAGUUAGUUAACAUGUCUAACAAUCCCAGAAGUGAUCGAUCUAGUGCUACUGAUCCUUUUGUUGAUGAUUCCAGUAUUGUGGGAAGGAGUGAGGUAGUGAACAAGGUUGUAAACUUUUUAACUUCUUCAGAGAAGGAUGGUAAUAACUUAUCAGUUAUUGGUAUAGUUGGGAUGGCUGGUUUGGGCAAGACAACGAUUGCUCAGCUAGUCUACAAAAAUGAAAAGGUGCUGAGGCAUUUUGAUCAAAAAUUGUGGAUCCACGUGUCAGAAGAUUUCAAUGUUGAAAGACUCUUAAAUAAGAUGGUAGAGUCUCUUACAGGAACCAGCCCUAAUCUGACAGUUGCAGAGGCAAUUGUAAGAAAGCUUAACGAGGUACUUAAAACUAAAAGAUUCUUGCUUGUAUUGGAUGAUGUUUGGAAUGAAGAUGAAGAGAAAUGGGAUAGAAUGAGGGAGUGUUUGCGAGGGAUAGGUGGAUCAGACGAAAGCAGGAUAAUCGUGACAACUCGAAAUGAGACAGUUGUUUCAAUCAUGCGAGCAUCUUUUACCUGUCAAUUGGGAACACUUUCUGCUGGUGACAGCUGGGAAUUGUUUGAGAAAAUAGCAUUUGGUCACGGUUGUGCAGCAGUAAAGACUCCUGAAUUGAUAAAUAUAGGAAGAAAAAUUGUUGCUAAGUGCGGUGGUGUGCCAUUGGCAGUAAAGGCAAUAGGAGGUUUGUUGUACUCCAAAAAGGAUGAACGUGAGUGGUCAAAAAUAGAAAAUAGUGAAACCUGGGCUACAAUGGAAGAAGCUGGAAGAAGAGUCAGAUCCGCUAUAAAGUUAAGCUACGAUCAUUUGCCUUCAUUGUCGUUGAAACAAUGUCUUUCAUAUUGUACUAUAAUGGGAAAGGGUGGCGUUGCAACAGUGGAAAGCAUGAUACAACUUUGGAUGGCACAGGGAUUGCUUAAUCCUUCCAAGGGAAGUCACCUGGAAAUGGAGGAUGUUGGAACUAACUACAUGAGUAUUUUGGUCCGGACUUCUUUGUUGCAAGUUUCCGAGAAGGAUGGGUUUGGAAGAACUAUAAAAUUCACUAUUCACGAUCUUGUGUAUGACUUUGUUGAAGAAGCAGCUAAAGAGUCCAUUUUCUUGGUUCCCUCGGUUGAACUUAGAACCGGUAGGGAAAGUCUUUUAAAGCCGCGAACUUUGAUUUUGAGCGAUGGCCUUGCACAUGAUUUGCCGAUCGUUCGUAAAAGCCUUCGAGUCUUAGUUCUUGAAGAUGAAGAUGUUAAGGAAUUGCCAACCACGAUUGGAAAGUUGAAGCGUUUAAGAUAUCUUGACAUCUCCAGGACUUCAAUAACAGAACUCCCAAAUCCCAUUACACAGUUGUACAAUUUGCAAACAAUGAGACUGAGUAAUCUGCAACAGCUUCCCAAAAAUUUUGGAAAUUUGGCUAACCUGAGACAUUUGUGCAUUGGAAAAGAUGGAAUCAUCAACGGCAAGCCGUGUUUGCUUCCUGAUAUAGGGCAAUUGAGUUCUCUUCAGACAUUGCCUUUCUUCUAUGUAUGUCAAGAUAAGGGAUGUCAAAUUGAUCAGUUGGGGCAUUUGCACAAUCUCAGGGGCGACCUCAAGAUCUUUGAUCUCCAGAAUGUUAGCAACCAAGAGGAAGCAAUCAAAGCAAAAAUAUCCACAAAGAUAAACCUUGAUAGUUUGGAACUUCACUGGGAUACUAGGACUAGAGACGAAUCCACUGAUGAGGAUGUUUUGAAAGGUCUUGAACCUCACCCAAAUUUGAAAGGUUUCACAAUGGAAAACUUUAUGGGCCGAAGCCUUCCACCGUGGAUGCUGACCACAAGCCAUCCUUUGGUCUUUCGCAAUCUUGUGAAGAUCGUGCUGAGGAACUUCAACAAGUGUCAGCAAAUUUCACCACUUUGGCACCUCCCUCACCUCAAUAUUGUCAACAUAAUUGGAAUGGAAAGUGUAAUUUGCAUCGGCACUGAUUUCUUCGGUUGGAAAAAUGUUGAUGAUGCAAGUAGCAAUCCAAGUGGCCUAGCAGGGGAUGCUGUGGUUUCAUUUCCGGCACUGAAAGAACUAAUUCUGGAGGAUAUGCCUGGUUUGAAAGAGUGGUCAGGUUUGAUGUGCCACGAUUCAUCACAUUCAUUAGUCAAGAUAUUCCCUUCUUUGGAGAUUUUAAGAGCCAAGAUCUGUCCCAAAUUGGUAAGCCUGCCAGAUGGUGUUUGGCACAACCUUAGAUGCAUUAAAGAACUAUGGAUUUCAGAUUGCGAUAGUUUAAGUCAUCUACCAAAGGACGUGGGAGGAUUGGCAUCUCUUGAGAUUCUAACAGUAAUGUCUUGCCCCAAUCUUGUUUCCAUUCCAGAUAUUCAUUCCCUACGAUCUCUAGUUCAGCUGACCCUUGCGGGAUGCAACAACUUGCGCUCACUACCAAGUGGAAUAGAAGUCUGUACAUCAAUCAGGCGGUUUGGAUUAUUGGAGUGCCCUGCUAUUCAACCAGAGGAUUUGCAUCAUCUGUCGAGGAUGAUUCAACUACAAGAAUUGGUGCUAGGCGAUUUUUCUUAUGAUCUUGAUUAUUUCCCCUGGCCCAGCUACGCCAUUAAUCCUUGCAGAGUUUCUAUUACCGAUUAUGAAAACAAAGAAUUCCAACAUCCUUUUGCCUCGUUGGCGUCUCUUGUAUUAUAUGGUUGGCAAGCAGUCACAUCCCUGCCGGAGCAGAUUCAGCAUCUCUCCAACUUGUCCUUUUUAAGGAUAGAGCAUUUUGACGGGGUCGUGGCUCUGCCAGAGUUCUUGGGUAGAAUCCUUUCACUCGAAGAACUGCACAUUGAAGACUGCCAAAAUCUGUUGUAUUUGCCUUCUGCUGAGGCAAUGCGUCACCUCAUCAAAUUAAGGAAAUUGACAAUUGAAGAAUGUCCCCGUCUCAAGGACAGAUGCAAGAAAGAGAUAGGCCAAGAAUGGGACAAGAUUGCUCAUAUUCCAGAAAUUCAGCUGCUGCCAUGAACAUGUGCAAUGCAUCGCCUCAUCUUACUUUGCUUAAUACAGCAACUACAUGCACAUUUCAGUCUCCAUUUCCAAAGGGAUAAGAAACCCACCAAUAUUUAUUUCAGAGAAGAAAAGGGUUGUUUUCUUUCUGGGGAGAGGAUUUCAGAAAAUGGCAGAGGAAGAAGUGAGCAAUAAGCAAGUUAUACUGAAGAAUUAUGUCAGUGGUUUCCCAAAAGAGAGUGAUAUGGAGGUGAAAACGACUGCUUUGAAGUUGAAGCUUCCGGAUGGCGGCGAUUAUUCAGCGGCAAUCUUGGUGAAGAAUCUGUAUUUGUCUUGUGAUCCUUAUAUGAGAUCCCGCAUGCGCAAGCUUGAAGGUCAUUAUGCUGAGGCCUACACUCCUGGCUCUUGGGUCUUGGAGUGGCUAGAGUUUUGGAGUCAAACAAUCCAAAAUUCAGCAAGGGUGAUCUGCUGUGGGGA